This 135-nucleotide ribosomal RNA is filed under the name Cronobacter malonaticus 507. Its description in RNAcentral is "Large Subunit Ribosomal RNA; lsuRNA; LSU rRNA". It matches the Rfam family "Bacterial large subunit ribosomal RNA", at positions 400 to 534 of the family's 2925-position model. The record is from RNAcentral. Lineage: Bacteria; Pseudomonadati; Pseudomonadota; Gammaproteobacteria; Enterobacterales; Enterobacteriaceae.
UGAGCUCGAUGAGUAGGGCGGGACACGUGAUAUCCUGUCUGAAGAUGGGGGGACCAUCCUCCAAGGCUAAAUACUCCUGACUGACCGAUAGUGAACCAGUACCGUGAGGGAAAGGCGAAAAGAACCCCGGCGAGG